This 398-nucleotide ribosomal RNA is filed under the name Pyrenaearia carascalensis. RNAcentral's name for it is "partial 16S ribosomal RNA". It matches the Rfam family "Bacterial large subunit ribosomal RNA", at positions 1857 to 2596 of the family's 2925-position model. Lineage: Eukaryota; Metazoa; Mollusca; Gastropoda; Stylommatophora; Hygromiidae. The record is from RNAcentral.
CCCUGCUCAAUGAUAUGUUAAAUAGCCGCAGUACUUUGACUGUGCAAAGGUAGCAUAAUCAUUUGGCUUAUAAUUGAAGUCUGGAAUGAAUGGGAGUAUGGGUAGUAACUGUCUUACCCUAAAUAAGUGAAUUUACUAAUUAAGUGAAAAUUCUUAUAACUAUAUAACAGACGAGAAGACCCUAGAAAUUUUAUAUAUUUAUGUUUACCUAAGCUAUUUUGUUGGGGCGACAGAACAACAUUAAACUUGUUUAUUUUUAUUUGACCUUAUUGAAUAGUGUAACUAAAUUACUCUAGGGAUAACAGCAUAAUACAAAAGAGUUUGUGACCUCGAUGUUGGACUAGGAAUGUUAUUGUUUAGAAGAUAAUAACAGAGGCUCUGUUCGAGCUUAUUCUCCU